This 253-nucleotide ribosomal RNA is filed under the name uncultured bacterium. RNAcentral describes it as "partial 16S ribosomal RNA". It matches the Rfam family "Bacterial small subunit ribosomal RNA", at positions 524 to 776 of the family's 1533-position model. The record is from RNAcentral.
UACGAAGGGGGCUAGCGUUGUUCGGAAUUACUGGGCGUAAAGCGCACGUAGGCGGAUCGUUAAGUCGGGGGUGAAAGCCCGGGGCUCAACCCCGGAAUUGCCUUCGAUACUGGCGGUCUUGAGGUCGAGAGAGGUGAGUGGAACUCCGAGUGUAGAGGUGAAAUUCGUAGAUAUUCGGAAGAACACCAGUGGCGAAGGCGGCUCACUGGCUCGAUUCUGACGCUGAGGUGCGAAAGCGUGGGGAGCAAACAGG